GAUGAACGCUGACGGAAUGCUUAACACAUGCAAGUCAACUGUGGCGGACGGGUGAGUAACGCGUAAAGAACUUGCCUCACGGAUAGGGACAACAUUUGGAAACGAAUGCUAAUACCUGAUACUGUGAGAGAGCUUUGCGUCCCAUUAGCUAGUUGGAGAGGUAACGGCUCACCAAGGCGAGGAUGGGUAGCCGGCCUGAGAGGGUGAUCGGCCACAAGGGGACAGGGACACGGCCCUUACGCCUACGGGGGGCAGCAGUGGGGAAUAGUGGACGAUGGACCAAAGUCUGAUCAAGCAAUUCGGUUUGCACGAUGAAGUUUUCGGAAUGUAAAGUGCUUUCAGUUGGGAAGCGGUACCAACAGAAGAAGUGACGGCUAAAUACGUGCCAGCAGCCGCGGUAAUUC
RNAcentral lists this ribosomal RNA (404 nucleotides) under uncultured bacterium. RNAcentral's name for it is "partial 16S ribosomal RNA". It matches the Rfam family "Bacterial small subunit ribosomal RNA", at positions 28 to 526 of the family's 1533-position model. The record is from RNAcentral.